UCUCAACAAGUUGUGCCUGAGA
This 22-nucleotide non-coding RNA is filed under the name Arabidopsis thaliana (thale cress). The record is from RNAcentral. Lineage: Eukaryota; Viridiplantae; Streptophyta; Magnoliopsida; Brassicales; Brassicaceae.